CACAUGUAAGCUUUAUUUUGCAGUAUUUCUGCCACUAAACACCUAUCUAUCCAUUGCAUUUCAUGUUGUGUUUGGAUAGGAGAUCAAAUCGGCAUAGAUUUAUGCCAAGAAAGUUAGUAUUGUGAGUAUUAAUAUCUUUCUCGAGGAAGGGAGAUGUUGCUCCGUCAUAUUGUAUGACUCUUAACAAUGGAUAUCUUGGCUCUUGCAUCGAUGAAGAGCGUAGCGAAAUGCGAUACAUGGUGCGAAUUGCAGAAUCCCGUGAACCAUCGAGUUUUUGAAUGCAAGUUGCGCCUAAGGUCCAAUAGGCCAAAGGCACGUCUGCCUGGGAAUCAUGCAACUCAUCGCUCUGUAUCUUGACAUUAAAUUAUAAAUAUAAUGAUGUUUAACAGAAGCGGAGAUUGACCCGUCGCAUAUGGGCAGCGGGAUCAAAAUUUGGUUGAUUUCCUUUUGACGGUGAUAGAUAAAUGGGUGGUGAACUCUCUUGCAUGGCCUUAAUAAUCGUAUGAUCAUCAAGUGGAAGACCGUAAAAAACUUGAAACUUAAAGGUGUCAUUUGUGGCAUAUAGAAAUGCGACCCCAGGAUAGGCGAGAUAACCCGCUGAGUUUAAGCAUAUAAUAA
Molecule: ribosomal RNA, 618 nt
Filed under: Disperis fanniniae
Lineage: Eukaryota; Viridiplantae; Streptophyta; Magnoliopsida; Asparagales; Orchidaceae
Description: eukaryotic LSU rRNA
Rfam family: 5.8S ribosomal RNA (bases 176-332)
Source: RNAcentral